AUUGAACGCUGGCGGCAUGCCUUACACAUGCAAGUCGAACGGCAGCGGACCUUCGGGUGCCGGCGAGUGGCGAACGGGUGAGUAAUAUAUCGGAACGCACCUUUCAGUGGGGGAUAACGUAGCGAAAGUUACGCUAAUACCGCAUAUUCUGUGAGCAGGAAAGCAGGGGAUCGCAAGACCUUGCGCUGAUUGAGCGGCCGAUAUCAGAUUAGCUAGUUGGUGAGGUAAAGGCUCACCAAGGCGACGAUCUGUAGCGGGUCUGAGAGGAUGAUCCGCCACACUGGAACUGAGACACGGUCCAGACUCCUACGGGAGGCAGCAGUGGGGAAUUUUGGACAAUGGGCGCAAGCCUGAUCCAGCCAUGCCGCGUGAGUGAAGAAGGCCUCGGUUGUAAGUACGU
Molecule: ribosomal RNA, 400 nt
Filed under: uncultured bacterium
Lineage: Bacteria
Description: bacterial SSU rRNA
Rfam family: Bacterial small subunit ribosomal RNA
Source: RNAcentral